GACGAACGCUGGCGGCGUGCUUAACACAUGCAAGUCGAACGGAAAGGCCCUGCUUUUGUGGGGUGCUCGAUUGGCGAACGGGUGAGUAACACGUGAGUAACCUGCCCUUGACUUUGGGAUAACUUCAGGAAACUGGGGCUAAUACCGGAUAGGAGCUCCUGCUGCAUGGUGGGGGUUGGAAAGUUUCGGCGGUUGGGGAUGGAUUCGCGGCUUAUCAGCUUGUUGGUGGGGUAGUGGCUUACCAAGGCUUUGACGGGUAGCCGGCCUGAGAGGGUGAACGGCCACAUUGGGACUGAGAUACGGACCAGACUCCUACGGGAGGCAGCAGUGGGGAAUAUUGCACAAUGGGCGGAAGCCUGAUGCAGCAACGCCGCGUGCGGGAUGACGUCCUUCGGGUUGUAAACCGCUUUCGCCUGUGACGAAGCGUGAGUGACGGUAAUGGGUAAAGAAGCACCGGCUAACUACGUG
RNAcentral lists this ribosomal RNA (468 nucleotides) under uncultured bacterium. RNAcentral describes it as "partial 16S ribosomal RNA". It matches the Rfam family "Bacterial small subunit ribosomal RNA", at positions 28 to 507 of the family's 1533-position model. The record is from RNAcentral.